GGCCUGUUAGCUCAGUUGGUUAGAGCGCCGUGCUAAUAACGCGGAGGUCACGAUUCUCUUACGGGCCA
RNAcentral lists this transfer RNA (68 nucleotides) under Daphnia pulex (common water flea). It matches the Rfam family "tRNA". From Rfam's summary of the family: Transfer RNA (tRNA) molecules are approximately 80 nucleotides in length. Their secondary structure includes four short double-helical elements and three loops (D, anti-codon, and T loops). Further hydrogen bonds mediate the characteristic L-shaped molecular structure. tRNAs have two regions of fundamental functional importance: the anti-codon, which is responsible for specific mRNA codon recognition, and the 3' end, to which the tRNAs corresponding amino acid is attached (by aminoacyl-tRNA synthetases). tRNAs cope with the degeneracy of the genetic code in two manners: having more than one tRNA (with a specific anti-codon) for a particular amino acid; and 'wobble' base-pairing, i.e. permitting non-standard base-pairing at the 3rd anti-codon position. Lineage: Eukaryota; Metazoa; Arthropoda; Branchiopoda; Diplostraca; Daphniidae. The record is from Rfam by way of RNAcentral.